AUUGAACGCUGGCGGCAGGCCUAACACAUGCAAGUCGAACGAGUGGCGGACGGGUGAGUAAUGUCUGGGAAACUGCCUGAUGGAGGGGGAUAACUACUGGAAACGGUAGCUAAUACCGCAUACCAUCGGAUGUGCCCAGAUGGGAUUAGCUAGUAGGUGUGGUAAAGGCUCACCUAGGCGACGAUCCCUAGCUGGUCUGAGAGGAUGACCAGCCAGACUGGAACUGAGACACGGUCAAGAUUCCUACUGGAGGCAGAAGUGGGGAAGAUGGAACAAUGGGAGCAAGCAUGAUGCAGCCAUGCCGAGGGUAUGAAGAAGGCCUUCGGGUUGUAAAGUAAUUUCAGCGGGGAGGCGUUACCCGCAGAAGAAGCACCGGCUAACUCCGUGCCAGCAGCCGCGGUAAUAC
RNAcentral lists this ribosomal RNA (406 nucleotides) under uncultured bacterium. RNAcentral's name for it is "partial 16S ribosomal RNA". It matches the Rfam family "Bacterial small subunit ribosomal RNA", at positions 30 to 526 of the family's 1533-position model. The record is from RNAcentral.